This 509-nucleotide ribosomal RNA is filed under the name uncultured Eubacteriales bacterium. RNAcentral describes it as "bacterial SSU rRNA". It matches the Rfam family "Bacterial small subunit ribosomal RNA", at positions 35 to 507 of the family's 1533-position model. The record is from RNAcentral. Lineage: Bacteria; Bacillati; Bacillota; Clostridia; Eubacteriales.
CGUUCUAGAGAGUUUUAGAUACCCUGGACGUCAACGGGAUAAAACGGCUGGCGGCGCACAUAGAACAUAGCAAGUCGAACGGACUUAACCAUAGUUUACUAUUGGAGCGGUUAGUGGCGGACUGGUGAGUAACACGUAAGCAACCUGCCUAUCAGAGGGGAACAACAGUUAGAAAUGACUGCUAAUACCGCAUAUGCCUUAGUAUCGCAUGAUACAAAGGGAAAGGAGCAAUCCGCUGAUAGAUGGGCUUGCGUCUGAUUAGCUAAGUUGGUGGGGUAAAGGCCUACCAAGGCGACGAUCAGUAGCCGGACUGAGAGGUUGAACGGCCACAUUGGGACUGAGAUACGGCCCAGACUCCUACGGGAGGCAGCAGUCGGGAAUAUUGCGCAAUGGAGGAAACUCUGACGCAGUGACGCCGCGUGCAGGAAGAAGGUUUUCGGAUUGUAAACUGCUUUAGACAGGGAAGAAACAAGGCAGUACCUGUAGAAUAAGCUCCGGCUAACUACGUG